This 400-nucleotide ribosomal RNA is filed under the name uncultured bacterium. RNAcentral describes it as "bacterial SSU rRNA". It matches the Rfam family "Bacterial small subunit ribosomal RNA", at positions 356 to 773 of the family's 1533-position model. The record is from RNAcentral.
GGGGAAUAUUGGACAAUGGGCGCAAGCCUGGUCCAGCCAUGCCGCGUGAGUGAUGAAGGCCCUAGGGUUGUAAAGCUCUUUCACCGGUGAAGAUAAUGACGGUAACCGGAGAAGAAGCCCCGGCUAACUUCGUGCCAGCAGCCGCGGUAAUACGAAGGGGGCUAGCGUUGUUCGGAAUUACUGGGCGUAAAGCGCACGUAGGCGGACAUUUAAGUCAGGGGUGAAAUCCCGGGGCUCAACCCCGGAACUGCCUUUGAUACUGGAUGUCUGGAGUAUGGAAGAGGUGAGUGGAAUUCCGAGUGUAGAGGUGAAAUUCGUAGAUAUUCGGAGGAACACCAGUGGCGAAGGCGGCUCACUGGUCCAUUACUGACGCUGAGGUGCGAAAGCGUGGGGAGCAAAC